This is a long non-coding RNA of Diceros bicornis minor, 1101 nucleotides long. RefSeq lists it as uncharacterized. The transcript has 3 exons. NCBI's taxonomy places the organism in Eukaryota, Metazoa, Chordata, Mammalia, Perissodactyla, Rhinocerotidae. The record is from RefSeq and is a predicted model, not a curated record.
UGGAGGCCUGUGGGAAGCUGAGUUCAUCUGCUGUCUGAGCCCAGACUGACCUGCCAAGGCUAAUAUCCAAGACAAGUCACUGUUCCUAGGAGAGUGGGAUUCAUAUGGGACAAAUCAUCUCUGAUGUGGUUUCCUUCCAGGAUCCUGUGUGAUCCAGAGGAUCUGGGCACCAAUGGAUGAGUCUUUCCCCAUACCAGGUAUCUGUGUUGUUGGAUACAAAUGGUUGUCCCAGGUGGGAGGGGUGGGGCACAGAAGUGGGUGAUGCAGAUGACUUGGGAAGGCUGGACAGGGAUCACCUGAAAGCACAAGAAGUGGGGCUAUCUGGUACACCCAGGCUCUGAUUUUGUCCUAGAGAGCCUUCCUGGACACCUUCUGUGGACUGAGCCAAUCUCCUGAGGGAGGCUGUGAUCUUCAGAAUCUGAAGUCUCUGGAGAUGUGUUGGAAUAACCUCCAUGAGGAGGGAAGGACCAAAUGCUGGGGUACAUGGAACCCUCUGAGGACCAAGAAAUAACUUAGAUUCUCCAGCCCAUCCAUGAUGCUGAGAUAAAGGGCGUCUCUGCUGCCAGAGUCUGAGAAGGGACUGUUCAGCAGAUACACAAGAAACCUCUCUCUGCCCAGGUGGGCCCCAUGGUGAUGUCAGCAUGACUUGAGGAGCCCUGUGUAUGUCCUCACCCGGAAUCCUAACUGGCGAACCCUGGGCCACUGAAGCGGAGCACGUGAACGUAACCACUACACCAUGGGGCUGACCCACAGAUGUUGUUUUAAUUAUAUGUCUCCCAGCACUUAGUCUUUCCUCAUCUCUGUAAAAGUUAAUUCUUUGUCUCUUGAUCUGUUGCUGGACGUCAUUCUCUUUCUUUCCUCUGACACUUACAAUGGAUGUGACGUUGGUCCUCCUCAUUCUAUUACCCAAGUAUUUUAAAUUUCCAUUUCUGGUCUCCCUAUGCUGCAUUCUGGAAAAUUCCAUCAUUACUGUGUUCUGCUUUCAUAAUUCAGCUCUCUUGUCCUUGAGGGGAUGAAUUUUUUCAAUGUUUUAAUUCUACUGGAGUUUUCAUAUCUAAAAUUUCUAACUCAUUUCAAUACUUGCCUAUUCAAUAAAAACAA